UGCAGAGGUCUCAAGCGUUGUUCGGAUUCAUUGGGCGUAAAGGGUGCGUAGGCGGCGCGGUAAGUCGGGUGUGAAAUUUCGAGGCUUAACUUCGAAACUGCAUUCGAUACUGCCGUGCUUGAGGACUGGAGAGGAGACUGGAAUUUACGGUGUAGCGGUGAAAUGCGUAGAUAUCGUAAGGAAGACCAGUGGCGAAGGCGGGUCUCUGGACAGAUCCUGACGCUGAGGCACGAAGGCCAGGGGAGCAAACGG
Molecule: ribosomal RNA, 252 nt
Filed under: uncultured prokaryote
Description: partial 16S ribosomal RNA
Rfam family: Bacterial small subunit ribosomal RNA
Source: RNAcentral